CAGGGGUUAGGAUCUCUCAGGGGACACGAUGUAGCUCACAAUUUAUGACCAGAGUCACUAUGGAGAAGGAUAGGAACGGGGGAGUGAAAGUAGGAUGGAGAGGAUAGGAACGGGGGAGUGAAGGUGGGAUGGAGAGGAUUGGAACGGGGGAGUGAAGGUGGGAUGGAGAGGAUAGGAACGGGGGAGUGAAAGUAGGAUGGAGAGGAUAGGAACGGGGGAGUGAAGGUGGGAUGGAGAGGAUUGGAACGGGGGAGUGAAGGUGGGAUGGAGAGGAUUGGAACGGGGGAGUGAAGGUGGGAUGGAGAGGAUAGGAACGGGGGAGUGAAGGUGGGAUGGAGAGGAUAGGAACGGGGUAGUGAAGGUAGGACGGAGAGGAUUGGAACGGGACCUCGGGGGGAGUGAAGGUAGGACGGAGAGGAACGGGGGAGUGAAGGUAGGACGGAGAGGAUUGGAACGGGGGCGUACUCUGAGUUUCCUCUUGGGGGCUUUGUGUUUGGCGGUUGUUGCUCCCCUACGAUGCGUCACAAACUUCCCUGGAGUCGGACUGAGAGAGAGAGAGAGGGGGGAGAGAGAGAGAGACAGGGAGAGAGAGAGGGGGUAGAGAGAGAGAGAGACAGGGAGAGAGAGACAGGGAGAGAGAGAGAGGGAGAGGGGGGUAGAGAGAGAGAGAGACAGG
This 676-nucleotide long non-coding RNA is filed under the name Salmo salar (Atlantic salmon). RNAcentral describes it as "lncRNA (ENSSSAG00000093786.1)". Lineage: Eukaryota; Metazoa; Chordata; Actinopteri; Salmoniformes; Salmonidae. The record is from RNAcentral.